UUUUUUCUCGCAAAGGACAUCUCUCUUUUCCCCUCAAACUUCUGUUUUAUUGCUGAAGGAUGCUUCAUGCCUUUACCCCGUACAGUGGCACAGCGAGACUAGCAGAAAGAGAAGUCUUGGUUGUCGACACUCAAGAGCAACCUGGAGCUCAUGCAGUAGCACUGUUCUCCAGAUGGCUUUCCACGGCACCGUCUCCCGUAACACACCAGUGAUCCACGAGACUGAGACAGAAAUUCCAGUGUGGGGAGGGUGUGAGUCAUGAGAUGAUACUGACCGUUAGGAAGACACUGCUGCAGAGACUGAAACCAAACCCAGUUAUUCCUUGUUCUCAAGUCGUCUUGGGUUAGAAGUUGCUGAAAAAUAACUGUGAUGUCUCCCAUCAAGCAUACGUUCUCAAUGAGCUGGAUAUUUUCAAGUUGUUGAAAAUCUGUUCUGCUUGGAGGUUUCUCUCAUAGAGGAAUUGUUCAGCACCACAACAGGAGUGUGCAGGGGGCCCAUAAAAGUUUAAAUGCUUUGAAUUCACUGCCAGGCACAAGAAGACUUUACUACUUGAGAUUAUGUUUGGAAAUAAAUGAGUUCUUGUCAUAGAUUGGGCA
Molecule: long non-coding RNA, 596 nt
Filed under: Calidris pygmaea (Spoon-billed sandpiper)
Lineage: Eukaryota; Metazoa; Chordata; Aves; Charadriiformes; Scolopacidae
Description: lncRNA (ENSCPGG00000012438.1)
Source: RNAcentral